GUCGAGAAUCUUUCACAAUGGGGGCAACCCUGAUCCAGCGACGCCGCGUGAGUGACGAAGGCCUUCGGGUCGUAAAGCUCUGUUGCAAGGGAAAAACAAAAUGAUGGUACCUUGCUAGAAAGGAUCGGCUAACUUCGUGCCAGCAGCCGCGGUAAGACGAGGGAUCCUAGCGUUGUUCGGAAUUAUUGGGCGUAAAGCGGGUGUAGGUGGCUUUGUAAGUCAGGUGUGAAAGCCUGGGGCUUAACCCCAGAAGUGCAUUUGAUACUGCGAAGCUUGAGUGCUGGAGAGGCUACUAGAAUUCUUGGUGUAGUGGUGAAAUACGUAGAUAUCAAGAGGAAUACCGGAGGCGAAGGCGGGUAGCUGGCCAGACACUGACACUCAGACCCGAAAGCGUGGGGAUCAAACAGGAUUAGAUACCCGAGUAGUCC
Molecule: ribosomal RNA, 428 nt
Filed under: uncultured bacterium
Lineage: Bacteria
Description: partial 16S ribosomal RNA
Rfam family: Bacterial small subunit ribosomal RNA
Source: RNAcentral